CUGAGUACGGCGGAACACGUGAAAUUCCGUCGGAAUCCGGGAGGACCAUCUCCCAAGGCUAAAUACUCCCUAGUGACCGAUAGUGAACCAGUACCGUGAGGGAAAGGUGAAAAGCACCCCGGAAGGGGAGUGAAACAGUUCCUGAAACCGUGUGCCUACAAGUAGUUAGAGCCCGUUAAUGGGUGAUAGCGUGCCUUUUGUAGAAUGAACCGGCGAGUUACGAUUUGUUGCAAGGUUAAGCGGAAAAAGCGGAGCCGUAGCGAAAGCGAGUCUGAAUAGGGCGCAUAAGUAACAGGUCGUAGACCCGAAACCAGGUGAUCUACCCAUGUCCAGGAUGAAGGUAAGGUAAUACUUACUGGAGGUCCGAACCCACGCACGUUGAAAAGUGCGGGGAUGAGGUGUGGGUAGCGGAGAAAUUCCAAU
Molecule: ribosomal RNA, 423 nt
Filed under: Listeria monocytogenes
Lineage: Bacteria; Bacillati; Bacillota; Bacilli; Caryophanales; Listeriaceae
Description: partial 23S ribosomal RNA
Rfam family: Bacterial large subunit ribosomal RNA
Source: RNAcentral